GGCACGGUGGCUUAGUGGUUAUCAAAUUUGCCUCACACCUCUAGGGUCCGGGGUUCGAUUCCCGCCGGGGCU
Ameiurus melas (black bullhead) is the source of this 72-nucleotide non-coding RNA. Lineage: Eukaryota; Metazoa; Chordata; Actinopteri; Siluriformes; Ictaluridae. The record is from the annotation of a GenBank genome assembly.